UCAAUCAGUUCUUAAAAACCACUUAGUUCACAAAAUAAAAUAUUAAAAAAACACUUAGUUCACAAAUUAAAUAUUAAAACUAAUAUAUUAUUUUAAAGUGUAAGCAUAUAGAAUGAGUCAUAAAAUGUAUAAACAUUAUAAGCAUGCAUCAUAGAACUUGAAAAAUAAACAACAACAAAAUGGGAAAAAAAGAAACAACAACCUUCAACUUAGUUC
Molecule: long non-coding RNA, 216 nt
Filed under: Lathyrus oleraceus (garden pea)
Lineage: Eukaryota; Viridiplantae; Streptophyta; Magnoliopsida; Fabales; Fabaceae
Description: Pisum sativum (pea) long non-coding RNA (PSAT_LNC022306)
Source: RNAcentral